GUUGACCUCGGAUCAGGUAGGAAUACCCGCUGAACUUAAGCAUAUCAAUAAGCGGAGGAAAAGAAACCAACAGGGAUUGCCUCAGUAACGGCGAGUGAAGCGGCAACAGCUCAAAUUUGAAAUCUGGCCCUAGGCCCGAGUUGUAAUUUGCAGAGGAUGCUUUUGGCAAGGUGCCUUCCGAGUUCCCUGGAACGGGACGCCAUAGAGGGUGAGAGCCCCGUCUGGUCGGACACCGAGCCUCUGUAAAGCUCCUUCGACGAGUCGAGUAGUUUGGGAAUGCUGCUCAAAAUGGGAGGUAUAUGUCUUCUAAAGCUAAAUACCGGCCAGAGACCGAUAGCGCACAAGUAGAGUGAUCGAAAGAUGAAAAGCACUUUGAAAAGAGAGUUAAAUAGCACGUGAAAUUGUUGAAAGGGAAGCGUUUAUGACCAGACUUGGCCCGGUUGAUCAUCCAGCCUUCUGGCUGGUGCACUCUGCCGGUCCAGGCCAGCAUCAGUUCGUCGCGGGGGAUAAAGGUUUCGGGAAUGUAUCUCCUCCGGGAGUGUUAUAGCCCGUUGCGUAAUACCCUGCGGUGGACUGAGGUCCGCGCUCUGCAAGGAUGCUGGCGUAAUGGUCAUCAACGAC
Molecule: ribosomal RNA, 621 nt
Filed under: Albifimbria verrucaria
Lineage: Eukaryota; Fungi; Ascomycota; Sordariomycetes; Hypocreales; Stachybotryaceae
Description: eukaryotic LSU rRNA
Rfam family: Eukaryotic large subunit ribosomal RNA
Source: RNAcentral